AAUCAACGCUGGCGGCGUGCCUAACACAUGCAAGUCGAACGAGAAAGUGGAGCAAUCCAUGAGUACAGUGGCGCACGGGUGAGUAACACGUGACUACCUACCCUCGAGUGGGGAAUAACCUCGGGAAACCGGGGCUAACACCGCAUAAUAUCUACGGAUCAAAUGCGAAAGCAGCUUGAGGAGGGGGUCGCGGCCGAUUAGCUAGUUGGUGAGGUAAUGGCUCACCAAGGCAAUGAUCGGUAGCCGGCCUGAGAGGGCGCACGGCCACACUGGAACUGAAACACGGUCCAGACUCCUACGGGAGGCAGCAGUGGGGAAUUUUGCGCAAUGGGGGAAACCCUGACGCAGCAACGCCGCGUGGAGGAUGAAGCCCCUUGGGUGUAAACUCCUUUCGAUCGGGACGAUAAUGACGGUACCGGAAGAAGAAGCACCGGCUAACUCUGUGCCAGCAGCCGC
RNAcentral lists this ribosomal RNA (456 nucleotides) under uncultured bacterium. RNAcentral's name for it is "bacterial SSU rRNA". It matches the Rfam family "Bacterial small subunit ribosomal RNA", at positions 32 to 518 of the family's 1533-position model. The record is from RNAcentral.